AGUAACACGUGGGUAACCUGCCUUAUAGUGGGGGAUAGCCUUUCGAAAGGAAGAUUAAUACCGCAUAAGAUUGUAGUAUCGCAUGAUAUAGCAAUUAAAGGUGCAAUUCGCUAUAAGAUGGACCCGCGUCGCAUUAGCUAGUUGGUGAGGUAAUGGCUUACCAAGGCGACGAUGCGUAGCCGACCUGAGAGGGUGAACGGCCACAUUGGGACUGAGACACGGCCCAGACUCCUACGGGAGGCAGCAUG
RNAcentral lists this ribosomal RNA (248 nucleotides) under uncultured bacterium. RNAcentral's name for it is "partial 16S ribosomal RNA". It matches the Rfam family "Bacterial small subunit ribosomal RNA", at positions 109 to 353 of the family's 1533-position model. The record is from RNAcentral.